Molecule: long non-coding RNA, 5999 nt
Organism: Pseudopipra pipra
Lineage: Eukaryota; Metazoa; Chordata; Aves; Passeriformes; Pipridae
Exons: 2
Source: RefSeq, a predicted model, not a curated record
GUGAUUCGAGAGGGGUUCGGGGUGGUUUGAGGAGGUUUGAGGUGAUUCGAGAGGGGUUCGGGGCUCCUCAGGGAGAGUCUGGGGGAACUUGAAGAGCGUUUGGGGAGAUUUGAGGAGAGUUCGAGGUGAUUUGAGGUGGGGUUUGGGGCUCCUUAGGGAGGGUUCGGGGGAGCUUGAGGAGGGUUUGGGUGAUUUGAGAAAGGUUUGGGGUGGUUUGAGGAGGGUUGGGGGCUCCUUGAGGAGGAUGUGGGGAAACUUGAAGAGGGUUCGGGGUGAUUUUAGGAACGUUUGAGGUGAUUUAAUGCGGGUUUGGAGACACUUGAAGAGGGUUUGGGGCUCCUUGAGGAGGGUUUGAGGCAACUACAACCACCUGAAGGAAGGUUUUAGUGAGGUGGGGACCGGUCUCUUCUACAGUAUCUGCAGUGACAAGAGGAAAUGGCCUCAAGCUGAGACAGGGGAGGUUCAGAUUAGAUAUUAGAAAAAAUCACAGAAUAUUCUGCACUGGAAGGGACCCACAAGGAUCAUCCAGUCCAACCCCUGUCCAUGCACAGGGCACCCCAACAAUCCCACCCUGUCCCUCACAGCGUUGUCCAAACCCUCCUGGAGCUCUGGCAGCCUUGGGGCUGUGCCCACUGCCCUGGGGAGCCUGGCCAGUGCCCAACCAGCCUCUGGGGGAAGAACCUUUCCCUAAAAUCCAACCUGACCCUGCCCUGACACAGCUCCAUGCUGUGGCAAGGCCAAAGACUGAGCGUGGGGUUUUUUUUUGUGACGAUGAAGUUUGGGAGAGGCCAAAAUCCUGGCUCCCCUCCAUCCAACUGGGCAGAAGAUGAAUCAGAAGCCCUGAAACCCAAACUGGGGCUCUGAGCUUGGACCGCUGCCUGCUCACAGAGACAGGACAUCCAUCCUCGGGGUCAUCAGCCCAGCACGUGGGGUUGGAUUGGGGUAUGGUGUGAUCCUCCCUCCUCUCCUGUUCACUCCCGCAGGCCUUUGACAAGCAAGGGUGGCAAUUCCUGGAAGAAAUGAGCCCCCUCGUUGUGACGGAGCAGAGACGAGUCCUCCCGGGCUGCUCUCGGCAGAGCUGGUUGGCAUUUUGGGAUCACCCGCUCCUGGUCAUGGGAGCUGUGCUGUGUGAGCCCCGUGCCCUCUCAGGGAAUGCCGGGCUGUGGUUGUGCACGCCAUAAAUCCAGCUGGCGAUGACAGGGACACUCCAAACCCUCCGCGUUAUUUUUGCCUCCGUAGCUCAGGCUCCGGGCGAUCCCGGGCUGUGGCUCCAGCGUUCCCGUCCCAUGAGAGGGCAGCACGAGCCCGCCGGUGUCGGAUACGGGUUUUUAGGUGCUGAAAUUGGGCAGCAUCAAUUCUGAAACUCCUUCGGAAGCGAUGUGUGUCUGCUUAAACCUUGCCCCGGAGCGUCCCCAUUCCAGCGACUAAUGUGUGAAACCAACCAGGAGUGGUUUUCCCUGCAGAUAAAAAGUGUGGUGAACAUCGAUCCUUCCUACAUUCCUGCAGGAGACUGUGGAAAUCCUUCAUCCUCAUGCUGAGCAGGGUCUGCUGCUCUCAUCAUGCUGCAGCAUGGCCAGGACUGAUUGCUCUGGAACAUCAAGGCUGAGUAAUACAGAACUUGCUUUUCCUGGGAUAAUCCAUAGAGAUGGAUGUUGGGCAAGGAAAAUGCAGAAGGAAGCCAGGAUCAUGUGAAUGUGUUGGACCAGGAGAAAAUAAGAAGUUUGUAUUCAGUGUUUAUCUGAAGUGAUUGCUAUUUAUGCACCUAACCUUGUGACAGAGCAAAAACACUGCCAGAAGAAUGUUAUUACCUGAAAAGCUGUUUAUUCCCCCAGAUUUUAGAGGCCCUAAAAGGAAGAUGUGGGGAUCCCUCUGUCCUAUGUGUGGGUGUCAGCAGCCAAACCAUCUGUGUCCCCUGUUCCCUCUGCUGGGACAGCAGGGAUUUCUGGGUCUAGGAACUUGGUCCUGAAAACUGCUGAGUAAACUCCAGUUAGUGUUUACUGGAAUCCACUGGAGGGGUGAUCCCUGAACCCAUUUUUUAGCUGUUGAAGGGCCCAAUCCUGGGAGCUUCAGGGCUCUUCAAUCCUCAGUAACUUUGAUUGGAGUUAAGGGUCACUCAGUACCUCCUGGGAGGAGGCCCUGAGUGGUCUCACCUUUUAAAGUUAAUGGUUUUGAGCGUGAGAAUCUGACCUGGGAGUUUUUAAUUUGACUUUGCUGGUUUUAGCUUCAGCUUGAAACUGUCUCAAAUAGUUUUUGUGCCCUCAGUACUGAAUGUUACUUUGUUAGAGCCUUCCCUGUUGUUGGUCUCACAGGUGCCAAGUCCAUCCCUUGCCUUAGGCAACUGUAGCCAAUGGGCUGAGAUCAGGGAUGACUUUGGCCAGGGAUAAUUGACAUAAUAAAUAAAAUCUGAAACAAAAAAAAUUAUAUAUAAAUCAAAAGUUUGAGUUUGGAAUAGCUUCUGAGAUUCUGAAAGUAAUUGAAGUAAUCCAGGAGAAAAUAUGCCAUGAAAUCUGUUUUCCAUUAUUGCAUGAGAUGGUAUGUCUUAAAAUUUGAUCAAACCCAUUUUUUUAUACGAUGAAGACAAUGCAGCUCAAAGGGAUGUGGAGAUCUGGGGUCAUUUUCAAUGUGGUGUUUGUAAAUUAUUGUAGACUUGACAUUCUUAUUCAUUUAUUUGAUAAGAUUUGCUUUUCCUAUUGUGAUCUCACAGCAAACAAUUUCUGACUGAGUGGUAUUUUUGAAAGAAGUGGUAGUGGAAGCUCAUUAUUGAUAUAUUUGUGCCUGCUAGUUUUCUUAUCCAGACCAAGCCUGUUGUAUAACAACACAGUGCAGUGGGAGAGACCUGAUGGCCUCUCUUGCCUUGCAUUUAAGAAGAAGUGAAGUCACUUCUGUGAUAGUCCCAUGUUCAUAUUCCCCCGUGGGUUUUGUAAUAUUCUCCGGCAAAACCAAGACUGAACAGGACAAGGACACUCCAUUCCUGUUGCUUUAAAGGAAUAUAUUUCCAGCUUGAGUGGCUUCUGAGCUCAAUAGCUGUGAGCAACAACACACAGAGUCCAGUGUGGGGAAUAACCACACACAUCAGUGAGCAAGAGGGGCCAGAGGAGUUUAUUGCCAGGGCUGUCAGCUUUCCCCUUUAGGAGCAGAUCUGCUCCCCUUGCUGCUUUUGCAUUCCUAUUCCCACACCAUCAGUCAAUCCCUGUGCCUCUGUAGUUUUUAUCCCCUUCAUAUCUUUCCUGAGGGAUGUCAUUACUCCCUCCUCAGAGGGAAUUUGCUUUGGAGGCUUCAUCCAUCCCCACAGGGAUCAAAUCAUAGGCUGACGUAUCUCACGAAGCCAUGAGUCAACCGGGGUCCAUCUCAGAUUGUGGAUGUAAUUUAGGGUCAAAAGGAAGCCUGUUUCUUGUUUUCUCCCUUGGUAAUACAGGGAAUUCACCCUCAGAGAAUUUAUGAACAUGUCAGUUGGUCAAAUAAGAGCGUUCUGGAUAUUUGCAGGAAUAAUUUACUACCUGGCAGGGCUCGUUUGUUUACAUCCUCCAUAGGGAUCCCGUGGGACAGACUUAAUCCUGGGCCUGGAUAUUUGAUUGAGGACAGCUCUUGGGGUAUCUGCUGGGAUGUUUGUAGUCCACAGACAGUCAGCUGUGGGAUGUUUUAAGGUAAAAUAAAUAUAUAUGAGCUUUUCCACCCCAUCAGUGAGGAUCUGUGUAACUCCCAAACUGCUCAGCUCAUGGCUCAGUGCAAACACUUCUGAUGUUGCUGAAAACAGGCCCCAGUCUGCUCAAAUUGAUUUUAAAGGCAACAGAAAACCCAAGAGGUCGUGCAAGUGCCUUGUUUGAUCAGAGCCAGCACAGGGGAAGGCACAGCACAAGGCUGGCAGGGAAAGAGGGGAAGCUGGAGGCUGAGAGUUGAUGGAUUCAUCGGGGCAUCCCUGUUGGAUACAGCAGGGCUGGAAGGUGGCAGUACCAGCUGAUGAGUUUUCACUGCAGCAGCUUGUACAGAUCUCUGCUGCACCCCCAGCACUCAGGUGGGCACGUGUGUGUGUGUGGAGCAGUGCAGGACCUGUGGGAGAAGGGCUGCUCUUCACUUUAGGCUUCUAAUGCAAGCACUUCAAACAGGUGCCUGGAGUUAAGGGGCUAAAUCAGGGUUUGUUUCUCUAAAUACCUCUUGUAAAAUGCAGUUAAAGACACUUCCUAUGAGUUCCAGUCUUAUCAAGCCCCAAGCAGCAUGUGAAGUGUUCAGUUUAUUCUUCACUGAGUGUGUCUUUUGCCCUCUGCAAAUUAAAAAUCUGGCAUUGGGUGGGUGUCACACCCAUGUCAUGAAGCCAGUGGCAAAGCUGGGCGUGGGGUGGCAGAGCAGAAGCACGUGGUGAUCUGGUCCCAGUUAUGUGACAUCUGGCUCUGCCUUCAGCCUUAAAACUGAGCUGCAAACACAGCAGCAAGUGUAGAUUGCUGGAAAGGUCUUCACAAAGUGCCACAAGUGAUCACUGCUCAGAAAAAUAACAUGUGAGGGACUCGGGGGUCAGCCUCUGGAGCAGGUACAAGUCAUGUGCUCUCUCAGAUGCUGCUGGAGAUCCACCAAGGAGGCUCCUCAGGGAGCUAUCAGGGCUCCCUCAACUCUUGGGUCUCUCCAGCAGCUUGUGCAGUUGAAUUAACAUUUACUGUUGGUGCAUUUCUCCCCACAAGUCUGAAAAAGGUUCUCCUAGACAACCAUUCCAACAGCAAGGACAACCAGAGUGAGUUUAUAAGGGUGGGAAUCAGCUCAGUAGCAGCACAGCAGAGAAGGAUGUGGAGGUUUUAGGGGACCACAGCUGAUUAUGAUUCAACAGUUGGUGCUUUGUUGAAAAAAAAAAAAAGGCUAUUUUUGUUCUGGCAAGUGUUAACAGGAAAGUCACGUGAGACACAGGGUGAUUAAUCCAUGCCACUCUGGGAGGCAUCAGUGCUCCCAGUUUGGAGCACCCAGGGAGAGCAGGACACACUGGAGACCACAGGAGACCCAGAGGAACAACUAAAACUCUGGACCUAUGGAGGAAGAUUAAAUAAAUCCAGAAAUAGAAGAGGAAGGGUAGGUUUUGCUGAGGACAGUCUUCCAGUGGUGGAAGGUAAGAAACUGAAUCUGUUCUCCUCUGACUCUGCUGUAGGGAGGAUGGGAAGGUGCUGAACUUCCAGCAAAACACACCUCAAGGAGGUUUUUCCAGGUUUUGUCUUAUUAGGCAGGGAGGCUUCCCAUGGGAAUAUUGGUGUGGUUUCUGUCAGUACCUCAGCAGAGCACCCGAAUAUGGUGUCCAUGUGCUGGGUGAUGCAUGUGGAGGGACUGGAUCAUCGCUUUGGGGGUGGAAACAUUGCUCCUCUGGGCUUGGAAUUCUUGGGAUUCAGUGACACUGAGGAGCAGGGAAUUUGAAAGGGUGGGAGAGGUGCAUCCACACACAGGGAGCAGGCUUGAAUGUCCAAAUCCACCUGCAGAUCUCCCACAGACUCCCUAAAUUUUCAUGUUUAGAAUAUAGAACUGGAACCAACUAUGCAGAAUAAACCAGAAUAACACCAAAACCUGACAAUUCCUAUGAAUGAGACCAUCACAGUUACAGUUACUGGGCAGAUGAUCUCAAGGGAAUUUUCCAAGGAUCUGAACCUUAUAUUUAAAAAACCCAAACAGCCCUAAAAAAUGAGGAAGGGGAGGGGAGAUAAGAUGAAAUCCACACCUCUUCCAGGAUGGGAUACUCAUGUUUCUGCACACUGUAGAAUAUAUUAAAUCUGUAAGGCUGAUCUGAGGAUAUCUGGGUGCAGUAAAUGCUGUAAAUGCCUGAAAUUCUCUGGAUUUGAUGGAGAACUACCCAUUUUGGAGGUCAGUGGGGGAAUAUUCUGCCCCAAGGAGGCCAAUUGAACUGAUGAUUUUGGUGAGCAGAGAGCCUGUAGCCACCUGAAUAUUUCCUUGGUCACCAACAGUCCAGUUUACCAAGAGCUGCUUUCUCAGAGGUGGUUUGUUGCUGAAAAAAAAAAUAAAUCAGAGAAAUCAAA